GGGAAACGCUAAAGUGUUUAACCCGACGGGACACUGCGGCCUGGCGGCGUUGAUCUCCUGCCGCAGAGCUUCGAUGUGUUUCUGAGUCGGGGUGUGAAACAGUCCGUCUGCUGUUCUCCACAGAAGGGUGGCUCCACACAGGUCAAUGAGGGAGCCAUCUUGUAGGACGUUGGUCUCGUUUUCUACCAGUUUCCCUCUUUGCUGAGCAGAUCUGGUCUCCCGGAGGGUGUAUACAUCCCCACAGACAGAGAUCUCACGCCAAACUCCAGGUUUAGACUCCUCAGUGAACCCUCCUUUUGGAUGCAUGACCAGCACCCCAUUGGUUGUUAACCCAUCCAUGUGGCCAUCAGGAUUUUUCCAUUUUGCUGCUUUUUCACCGAGAAAUAUGUUUUUAGAAGAGUCAAAUCCAGCUGCAAAAAUCCUUGCUGUAUAUGGCGGGCUCCUGUCACAAACAAUCCUGCAUGCAAAGCGGGAUAUGGUGCUCUGUGUAAUCUGAGUUUCGUCGUUGUUUUGGCUCCCAGAAAUAGUAUCUGUCACUACAAAGUCUAUGGGGCUUUCU
This 559-nucleotide long non-coding RNA is filed under the name Gallus gallus (chicken). The record is from RNAcentral. Lineage: Eukaryota; Metazoa; Chordata; Aves; Galliformes; Phasianidae.